This 777-nucleotide ribosomal RNA is filed under the name uncultured Neocallimastigales. Its description in RNAcentral is "partial large subunit ribosomal RNA". It matches the Rfam family "Eukaryotic large subunit ribosomal RNA", at positions 24 to 644 of the family's 3401-position model. The record is from RNAcentral. Lineage: Eukaryota; Fungi; Neocallimastigomycota; Neocallimastigomycetes; Neocallimastigales.
UAUCUCUGUAGAGUCUGCAUAUCAAUAAGCGGAGGAAAAGAAACUAACAAGGAUUCCCUUAGUAACGGCGAGUGAAGCGGGAAGAGCUCAAAUUUGAAAUCUUCAAGGUUCUACCUUGACGAAUUGUAGUUUAAAGAAGUGUUUUCUGUUAGAUGAGUAGUAAAAGUUCCUUGGAAUAGGGACAUCAUAGAGGGUGAGAAUCCCGUAUUUGGACUAUUCAUUUCUAGCUUUGUGAUACACUUUCAAAGAGUCGGAUUGUUUGGGAAUGCAGUCCAAAAUGGGUGGUAAAUUUCAUCUAAAGCUAAAUAUUGGCGAGAGACCGAUAGCGAACAAGUACCGUGAGGGAAAGAUGAAAAGAACUUUGAAAAGAGAGUUAAACAGUACGUGAAAUUGUCAAAAGGGAAGCGUUUGACACCAGUGUUGUUUUUCCAAAAAUCAAUUACGAAUGGCUUGAUUUUGUGUUGUAUUGACCUUAUCAGCUUUCUCCACUUUUUUCGAGUCUUUCUUAAUGCACUUUUCGGUUAACAAGUCAACAUCAAUUUCUUUUGUUGUAAAAGAGUAUUCGGAAGGUGGCUUUCUUUUCGGAGAAAGUGUUUAUAGCCCUAUACUUCUACAAUCGGAGAGAUUGAGGUCUGCAGCGUAGAUCCUUCGGGGUUAGAUACACUUGUGCUAAGUUGUAGCUUUUCAUAGACAACUUGUUGACUAUGUUUAGUCAUGCGGCUUACUCGCUUGUGCUAUUUUACCUACGCUUAGGAUGUUGACUGAUAUGUAGUCGUA